Cyprinus carpio carpio is the source of this 108-nucleotide microRNA precursor. Lineage: Eukaryota; Metazoa; Chordata; Actinopteri; Cypriniformes; Cyprinidae. The record is from Ensembl.
GUGUGUUUGUAGUCCCGCGGUCUGGCAGGUGUGGGAUGUUGUGCACUGUUGUUCAAUCUCCCGCCAAUAUUGCACUCGUCCCGGCCUCCCUGACCACGAGGAACACGC